This is a non-coding RNA of Podarcis lilfordi (Lilford's wall lizard), 69 nucleotides long. The record is from the annotation of a GenBank genome assembly. Lineage: Eukaryota; Metazoa; Chordata; Lepidosauria; Squamata; Lacertidae.
GGAUAGCUCAGCCAGUAGAGCAUGAGACUUUUAAUCUCAGUGUUGUGGCUUCAAAUCCCAUGUUGGGCA